Molecule: ribosomal RNA, 436 nt
Filed under: uncultured bacterium
Lineage: Bacteria
Description: partial 16S ribosomal RNA
Rfam family: Bacterial small subunit ribosomal RNA
Source: RNAcentral
CCUACGGGUGGCAGCAGUGGGGGAUAUUGCACAAUGGGGGGAACCCUGAUGCAGCGACGCCGCGUGGGUGAAGAAGCGCCUCGGCGCGUAAAGCCCUGUCAGCAGUGAAUUGACGGUACCUGCAAAGGAAGCACCGGCUAACUCCGUGCCAGCAGCCGCGGUAAUACGGGGGGUGCGAGCGUUAAGCGGAAGUACUGGGCGUAAGGCGCUCGUAGGCGGUAUGUCAAGUCAAGGGUGAAAUCCCCGCGCCCAAGGGGGGAACUGCCUGUGAAACUGGCAAACUGGAGUGUGUGAGAGGAUAGUGGAAUUCCAGGUGUAGGAGUGAAAUCCGUAGAUAUCUGGAGGAACAUCAGUGGCGAAGGCGACUAUCUGGCACAUAACUGACGCUGAGGAGCGAAAGCGUGGGUAGCAAACAGGAUUAGAUACCCGAGUAGUC